Molecule: long non-coding RNA, 723 nt
Filed under: Malus domestica (apple)
Lineage: Eukaryota; Viridiplantae; Streptophyta; Magnoliopsida; Rosales; Rosaceae
Description: long non-coding RNA (MDOM_LNC004632)
Source: RNAcentral
AUUUGGAAAGCUGAUGUUGCGUGUGAAGAUUGCAGACAAGCUUUAUCCAAGGAAAUCUGGCUCUCGAAGUUCGGAGAGUGGUGCCUAUUCGGUUUUCGAACAAGCAAUCCUGUCGGGGAUCUGGCUCUCGAGAUUCAAAGAACGGUGCCUCUUCAAUUUUUGAGAAAGCAAUCCUGUUGGGAGUUUGACUCUUGAGAUUCAGAGAGCAGUGUCUCUUCGAUUUUUGAGAAAGUAAUCCUGUUGGGAGUUUGGCUCUCGAGAUUCGGAGAGUGGUACCUCUUCGAUCUUUUAGCGCAAUCUUGUUGGGAGUGUUUUCUUGAAUGUGAGUAAAGGUUGGGCAUUUUUGUCAGUCUGCCUUGCCACGGAGCACAGAGGUUGACACACAUUGGGACUUUCUAGUUAUCAAGUAGUAGUGCUAUUCCUUUACCCUUGUGGGUAAUAGUAGGGUAGCUGGACCUUCAAAAUUUAUGUGUCUAAACUUUGUCAGAGAUCUUUGGCAAAGUUAUCUGUGGUACCUGAGGAGUUGAUGUUGCAUGUGGAAAGUGGUGCCUCUUCGAAAUCUGGAGAGUGGUGCCUCUUCGAUUUUUGAACCAAUGGCCCUGUUGCCCUUUCUUUUAUAAGGGCACCAAUUGUGUGCAAGAAGUACAUUCAGAAAGUUAUUGCUUGUAGGAAUUUUCCCCUUACUUUAGAGAUUUAUUGCACCUUAUUUCUCCUUCAUCAUUU